AUCCCGCGCAUGUCCGGGUUUGACAUGUACCUCCCUGUUGGACUUGCCCGGGCCUUUGUGCCCGGGUCUCUUU
This 73-nucleotide non-coding RNA is filed under the name Pseudooceanicola atlanticus. Its description in RNAcentral is "Singlet oxygen resistance RNA X". It matches the Rfam family "Singlet oxygen resistance RNA X". From Rfam's summary of the family: SorX (RSs2461)like SorY is a singlet oxygen induced sRNA that counteracts oxidative stress by targeting mRNA for a transporter in Rhodobacter. Lineage: Bacteria; Pseudomonadati; Pseudomonadota; Alphaproteobacteria; Rhodobacterales; Paracoccaceae. The record is from Rfam by way of RNAcentral.